UACUGGCUUCAAGCAAUCCUCCCACCUCAGCCUCCCAAGAAGCUAGGAUUACAUACACAAGGCUCCAUGCCAAGCUAAAAAUCUUAUUUUUGACAACUGUCAUUACUAAGAAAGCGUCUAUGUUCCAAAAGCUUUGCACUUUCAGAAGCUGGUUCAUAGUAUUGGUGCUUUAUUGAUGCGAGUAAAAUGUCUAAUUUAAGAUAAAGAUACAGGGAGAUAAAAAACAAAACAGUAGUUCAACUUUUCACAGCUCUAUUCUUCUGUCAUAAGGCAGCAAACAUCUGUCAAUAGCCCUUGUGUGCCAAAGGACAUUUGAGAAAUAUUACUUUAUAUACCAUGGUUUUAUGGUAAUUUGCCAUGUGGUAAUCCUUUCUUUAUCUGAGAAAGUAGAUGGACUUGAUAAAAUGUCGGUAAAGGGAGCUUGGUACAUAGGCUAUUUCACCCACAAUUGACAAUUUAAUGUUAUAACCAUGAAAGCAAUAAAUGUAACAUGGUAUUCAAAAUCUUAAUAACUUGUUCUAGGUUCUGAGAACAUUUGCCUACUUUCUACUUUGUAAUAUUCUCUAGAGACAAUAGGAAGCCCACAGUUCUGUACACCAAGUGAGAAAGAGGGUGCUAUUAAUACCUAAUAUCACUGUCAAUUCACUCAAGCAAAAAAUAAUAAAAAUAAAAUAAAAUAAAAUAAAAAGGAGAGCAGAUGACCUUGCUCUCUGCAAAGCAGUGAUAUGUUGUGUCCACAGAUGAUAUUCCAACCUCAUCAUAUAAAGGUAAGCAGAAGGGCCUAUGGAUGAACAGUUUUGGAGAGAUCUGCAAGACUUCCCAGAAGAGAUGAUCAUCCAAGAUGAAACCUAAAGGAGAAACAGAAAUUACUCAAGCAAAGCAGAAAUAAGAAUGUUUUAGGCUAAAGAAAAAGUGUAAGAAGGCAUAAAAAGAAAAAAUAAGGUUUGUUUCAUGAACUGCAUGAAACAAACUCCUCUCACUGUGUGAGAGGAGUAGUAAGGAGAAAUCAUCAUGAAAAGAUUAGAAGAUCAUGGAAAACCUUACAUGACAGGUGAGAGAAUUUGAAAUUCAUCAAGAGGCAUUGAAAGACCCAUUUUAAGAAGGGGAGUGCCAUGAUCAGAUUUAUGUUUUUGAAAAAAUAAGU
Molecule: long non-coding RNA, 1144 nt
Filed under: Homo sapiens (human)
Lineage: Eukaryota; Metazoa; Chordata; Mammalia; Primates; Hominidae
Description: HSALNT0284409
Source: RNAcentral